This 253-nucleotide ribosomal RNA is filed under the name uncultured bacterium. Its description in RNAcentral is "partial 16S ribosomal RNA". It matches the Rfam family "Bacterial small subunit ribosomal RNA", at positions 524 to 776 of the family's 1533-position model. The record is from RNAcentral.
UACGUAGGGUGCGAGCGUUAAUCGGAAUUACUGGGCGUAAAGCGUGCGCAGGCGGUUAUGUAAGCCAGUUGUGAAAUCCCCGGGCUCAACCUGGGAACUGCAUCUGUGACUGCAUAGCUAGAGUACGGUAGAGGGGGAUGGAAUUCCGCGUGUAGCAGUGAAAUGCGUAGAUAUCUGGAGGAACACCGGUGGCGAAGGCGACAUCCUGGACCGGUAUUGACGCUGAGGCGCGAAAGCCAGGGGAGCAAACGGG